GGACAUGGGGACACUGAGGGGACACCUCCUAGUUUGGGGAUAUAGGGACAGGGACAUCAGGGGGGGACCUCGUAACUUGGGGACACAGGGACACUGAGGGGACACCUAGUUUGGGGACACGGGGACAGGGACAUUGGGGGGGCACCUUGUAACUUGGGGACACGGGGACAGGGACAUCGGGGGGGCACCUUGUAACUCGGGGAUAUGGGGACAGGGACAUUGGGGGGGUGGGGACAUCAGGGGGGCACCUCGUAACUCAGGGACACGGGGAUGGGGACAUUGAGGGGGGACAAGGACAUUGGGGGGACACCUCAUGACUUGGGGACAUGGGGACAGGGACAUCAAGGGGGUCACCUCACAGCCUGGGGACAGGGGAUGGGGACAGUGGCAACAGGGUUUUGGGGUCCUCCUGUUUAGGAAUGGGGUUUUGGGCUCCCCUCCUGUUUAGGGACGGGUUUUUGGGGUGCUCCCAUUUAGGGACACGGUUUUGGGGUCUAUGCUUGUUGGAGACAGGGUUUUGGGAUCCCUCCUGUUUAGGGACGGGGUUUUGGGAUCCCUCCUGUUUAGGGACAGGGUUUUGGGGUCCCUCCUCAUUGGAACAGGACUUUGGGGCCCCUCCUGUUUAGGAACAGGGUUUUGGGGCCCCUCCUAUUUAGGGAUGAAGUUUUGGGGCCCCUCCUUGUUGGGGAUGGGGUUUUGGGGUCCCUCUGGUUUUGGGAAGGGGGUUUUGGGGUCCCUCUGGUUUUGGGAUCUCUCCUUGCAGGGGACAGGACUUUGGGGUCCCUCCUGUUUAGGGACAGGACUUUGGGGUCCCCCCUGUUUAGGGUCAGGAUUUUGGGGUCCCUACUGUUUAGGGAUGAGGUUUGAGCUCUCUCCUUUUUGGGGACAGGGGGUUUUGGGGCCCCCCCUGUUUAGGGACAGGACUUUGGGGUCCCCCCUGUUUAGGGUCGGGGUUUCGGGGUCCCUCCUCAUUGGAACAGGACUUUGGGGUCCCUCCUGUUUGGGGUUGGGGUUUCGGGGUCCCCCCUGUUUAGGGUGUGGGUUUCGGGGUCCCCCCUGUUUAGGGUGUGGGUUUUGGGGUCCCCCCUGUUUAGGGUUGGGGUUUCAGGGUCCCCCCCUGUUUAGGGACAGGACUUUGGGGUCCCUCCUGUUUGGGGUCAGGGUUUCGGGGUCCCUCCUGUUUAGGGUGGGGGUUUUGGGGUCCCUCCUUGUUGG
RNAcentral lists this long non-coding RNA (1215 nucleotides) under Anas zonorhyncha (Eastern spot-billed duck). RNAcentral describes it as "lncRNA (ENSAZOG00000007423.1)". Lineage: Eukaryota; Metazoa; Chordata; Aves; Anseriformes; Anatidae. The record is from RNAcentral.